This 564-nucleotide long non-coding RNA is filed under the name Patiria miniata (bat star). RNAcentral describes it as "uncharacterized LOC119737411". Lineage: Eukaryota; Metazoa; Echinodermata; Asteroidea; Valvatida; Asterinidae. The record is from RNAcentral.
CAUGUUGUAGUUUGUUUAAUUACCUUUCUGCGUUUGUGAUUGUGGGUCUUUGGUUGAGACCCUCCCACUCCAGUUUCAUGCUCUUAUUUCAUUAUCAUAUUUCUAAUAUUCAUAGGACUGCAGACAUGGUGUACAACCUCUGUCUCUCCGUUCCUUUGGAAUAUUGAGGAGUCUUUGGAUGAACUCGCGUUUACCUCUGGCAUGUGUAGCUAGCAAACCUUCACGUGCAUGACGUGGGGGUGAUCAUCGAUGUUGUUGUUGGAUGAGCCAUAGCCAAUGUCAUCGCCGAUCGCAUCAUUUCGGAUGUCAUGACGGCGGUGCAGGGGGGAAGUCAACCAACUUUCCCAAGCUGAUAAAAAUCAACCAACCAGUUCUCUUGGUUGGGGAGUUAUUUGGGUGGUAACGAAGCAGUGGACGAGGCAAUCAAUCGAGCACACCAUUGAGACAUGGAUCAACCUCCACUCAUUGACGGAGUUGUGCUGACUUAGAUCAUUGAUGAUUAAAGUGAUGGCAGAUCUACCAGCUCACUUCACAUCAGAGAGCUCUCUUGAGAAGCACUAUAGA